ACAGCUGAAGAUGUUAAAGUAGCAUGAUCAUGACAUUAAAAAUAACUAAAAAAAUUAUUUAGAAUUUUUUGUUGAUCUCUAACAGAAAAACGAGAAAAACAGCCAGAGACACAAAACGCAUGGGCAUGGCUUGCUUAUCCUGCCACUCCAUGACCAAAACACUUUGAGUGUUUGUUUUUCUUCCCUCCAAUACCAACUCUCCAUCUCCACCAUCCAACACUGAUCCGAAGCCUCUUCCAGUUCCAGUUCCCACAACAACAGCAAGUACCAGAACCAAAAGCACCACUACUCUACCGUUACCGAGAAAGGAAACGAAUCCACAACAGACGAUAACAAAGAGCUCAACCUUAAGCACAUUGAAAGCGUCGUUGGUGCUGGCAGUUAUCGUGACUAUGAGAAGCCCAUUGACCAAGAGAAGAAAAGGAAGAAGUCUGGGUUCAUGGAGGAGGGAACAGUGGGAAGAAGCUCAGAGAGACUGGAGAGUGGGUUGCCACCAAAACUGAUGGAGGAUUUCGUUCCAAUAGUACCUUUUUUUUUCUUAUUAAAUUUAAAGUUCUUUUUAAUAUUUUAAGGUAUAUGAAAUGAGAGAACCUUGUCCUUUUAUGGGUUCUAUAUAUGUGAUUCUUGAUCCAGAUAAUUUGGGGUUUCAACUUUUUAAAUCAAGAAACGGGAUAUAAUUUGCCAUUGUUCAGAUGACAUUUAGAAGAAAUUCAUGUGCUUGCAGAUUGAGAGAGGAUUGGAUAGCUGUUUUCCGUUUUAAUUUGUUUUAUCUGGAAUUCGAACCAAUUGGCUGUCCUAUGUUUCACAGGAUUGAAGUCAGUUAUGAAGGUACUCUUCCUUCAGAAUUUUGAGUUUCGUAGCAGAAAAAUCAUUUUGAGGCUACUUAGCAUGAGCUUAAAUCACAACACAGCCUUUUUUCUUGGGCACCGCACCCUGAAAGAUUAAUAUUGGUGACUUGUGGGACUGGAAGAAAUGAAAAUGCCCAUGGAAUGAUUUACUUGAAUGCUCUAAGAACUCUGGGUACCUUUGUUACUCAUAAUGGAUUGGCUUGCAAAGAUGGAACCUUCUCAGGAUUACAGUUGAAAGCUUUUUGAGUCUGCAAAAUUGUUUCUUUUUACCAUUUUUUGUUGUUAGAGAAAUGAUAGAGCAUCAUGUCUAGUAAUUAGUUUGGCAUUUAGAUAGAUGGUUUGUAGAGUGAUACAAUAAAUAGGAAAGUAGAUUGGGAACUUGAUACUCAUUGUACAUGUUGGCCUGAACCAACAAAAUCACCCCUGGAAACUUAUGUUAGCUGAAGUGAUUAUGAACAGCCGAGUGCUUGAGCUUGCCAGUUGAAAAAUGGUGUAAGGUUUGUUGAAGUAAAUAGGUGUCGUCACCUGGAUUCAUUUUCAUUGCUUGUUCAUACUUUAUGAUCACUGGACCUGGUGUGAUCAACUUUAAGCUAGAUUCAUCAACUUCUGUUUCUCUUUCACCUUUUCAUUUCCAUUUUCACUCUUUUAGGGAUUUAACUAAAGUGCUUUCCUUGAUAAUUACACCAUGUGUUUCCCUUGCAUCUGAUCCUGUAGACCAUGGAGUCAACGGGAAAAAAAUAGUUAUAUGAAAAGCACAGCAUACUAAGAUAAAACUGUUCUUUUUAUUUUAUGUGAUCUUGCAGCAUAUGACAUUUUUCCUGGGAAACAAAUCUGUACUGUGGUGUCUUUUUUUUCACUCAGGUUCACUAGAAGCCAAGAAUCCGCCUUCUAUUUGCUAUUGAAUCAAUAACGUGAUUGACCAGAUGCUGGUUUGCGUUAUUCUUUUGCAGUUCGAGAGUGUUACCGAGCUGUACACAAACCUUCCAACUUGUGGGGUGACACCCUUCCUGCCAGUAUAGAUAUCAAUUUGAAGGGCCAAAAAAGCUUCACUGCAGAAGAAACAGUCUUGGCUCUCCUUAGGAACAAGAUGCUUACCUGGGGAAGAAUUGCUAGCCCGGCUUGGAUCUGGCACAUUAAGAAGGGUGUGAUGGCUAACUGGGAGCCUUACAUAGGAUUCCGAGAACUCCUUUAUAUCAUACACGUGGCUAAACUUGAUCAUGAACGUGAUUCUUGUUGCUUCCGAGAUCACUGUCCCCGGACACGAAAAAAGAUGUCAUGAUUAGCGCUUGAGUGUUGAGGCAUUAUCAUUGUCAUUAUUGAUUUUGUUUCUGAAGAAAACAUUAUUAAGAAAAGAAACCUCGUUAAGGUGAAAUUGAUUAUUUAGUGAAUAGAAAAACGUUGGGUUGCAUCUUA
This is a long non-coding RNA of Populus nigra (black poplar), 2261 nucleotides long. RefSeq lists it as uncharacterized. The transcript has 4 exons. The record is from RefSeq and is a predicted model, not a curated record. Lineage: Eukaryota; Viridiplantae; Streptophyta; Magnoliopsida; Malpighiales; Salicaceae.